AAAUCUUCAGGGAAUGGGAUCUAAAAAUGCGCGCCGUCAGGAGCAGAACGCUACACGUCAGUAUUGCAAGUUGUAGUUGAAUGUCAAGAAUAUAAUAAACCAUAAAUAUAAGUUUCAGGAAGUCCCAAUGGCUGCAAGCAGGGAUCAUACAAUUUUUGUACAAAGUGACCUUUUUGAAAAAGGUUUUCCAGUCAUGGAAGAAAUAAGAAGAAAGGGAAAGCUGUGUGAUGUUACACUUAAGGUGGAUGGUCAGUCCUUCACUGCUCACAAGCUUGUUCUGUCUGCCAACAUACCAUACUUCAAUGCCAUGUUCCUGCAUGACAUGGUGGAAAGCAAGCUAUCAGAAAUAGAGAUGAAGGAGAUUGACACCAGUGCAUUGGAAUCGCUCAUCAACUUCGCCUACAGCGGUCGGAUUCUCAUAAACAACAGCAACGUGCAGAACCUGAUGAUGGGUGCAGCGUUCCUCCAGCUGACGGCCGUCCGGGAUGCCUGUGCUAAGCACCUCAUCAAGGAGUGAGUGGGGCAGGAUGG
Molecule: long non-coding RNA, 531 nt
Filed under: Pollicipes pollicipes
Lineage: Eukaryota; Metazoa; Arthropoda; Thecostraca; Pollicipedomorpha; Pollicipedidae
Description: uncharacterized LOC119093994, transcript variant X2
Source: RNAcentral